UCCCCUGGGAUGAUACCCCUUGGAGGGCUGGUAGCCAAUGACAGGGAAUUCACCACAUCUUUGGAUAAGAACAUUGUGAAACAAUUCCCUCUUGCAGAAAGAUGAGCCAUGAUAAGGAAUUGCUUAAACUGGUGAAGCAACCUUGCCACAGUCAGCCUGUGUUUGUGGGUUCUAUUGCCAAGGGACAUUGACAAAGUGUGUGUGCUACACAACAGCUCUGACUCUAAGUAAGCUGCUGUCCUCAGCUUGGUAUUGGAAAAAGAUCUGCUCAAAAGCAUUUUUGAUAUGGAUUGAUGCUGUCUUUAGUCCUCCUCUGUUUGGGAGAACAGAAAGGAUUUUAAUUCAUAUUAUUCCAAUAAUUUAUUUGCUCAACAAAUGUUUAUUGUGAAAUUAAUAAGAGCCAGACUCUGUGCUAUGUAGUGGAAUAAAAAACAAAUACAUUGA
Nannospalax galili (Upper Galilee mountains blind mole rat) is the source of this 444-nucleotide long non-coding RNA. RefSeq lists it as uncharacterized. NCBI's taxonomy places the organism in Eukaryota, Metazoa, Chordata, Mammalia, Rodentia, Spalacidae. The transcript has 2 exons. The record is from RefSeq and is a predicted model, not a curated record.